GCAUUGUGUGGUAUAAUGGUAUAAUCGCUUGGGUAUCCAGUGCAAGUAGGCGAAGUUAAAUUUUAAUUCAGUGAUACUGCGAGAGAUGCUGGUUCAAGUCCAGCCACAAUGCC
Molecule: transfer RNA, 113 nt
Filed under: Caudoviricetes sp.
Lineage: Duplodnaviria; Heunggongvirae; Uroviricota; Caudoviricetes
Description: tRNA-Leu
Rfam family: tRNA
About the family: Transfer RNA (tRNA) molecules are approximately 80 nucleotides in length. Their secondary structure includes four short double-helical elements and three loops (D, anti-codon, and T loops).
Source: RNAcentral